AGUGAACGCUGGCGGUAGGCCUAACACAUGCAAGUCGAACGGCAGCACAGUAAGAGCUUGCUCUUACGGGUGGCGAGUGGCGGACGGGUGAGGAAUACAUCGGAAUCUACUUUUUCGUGGGGGAUAACGUAGGGAAACUUACGCUAAUACCGCAUACGACCUACGGGUGAAAGCAGGGGAUCUUCGGACCUUGCGCGAGUGAAUGAGCCGAUGUCGGAUUAGCUAGUUGGCGGGGUAAAGGCCCACCAAGGCGACGAUCCGUAGCUGGUCUGAGAGGAUGAUCAGCCACACUGGAACUGAGACACGGUCCAGACUCCUACGGGAGGCAGCAGUGGGGAAUAUUGGACAAUGGGCGCAAGCCUGAUCCAGCCAUACCGCGUGGGUGAAGAAGGCCUUCGGGUUGUAAAGCCCUUUUGUUGGGAAAGAAAAGCAGCAGGUUAAUACCCCGCUGUUCUGACGGUACCCAACGAAUAAGCACCGGCUAACUUCGUG
This 492-nucleotide ribosomal RNA is filed under the name uncultured bacterium. RNAcentral describes it as "partial 16S ribosomal RNA". It matches the Rfam family "Bacterial small subunit ribosomal RNA", at positions 29 to 507 of the family's 1533-position model. The record is from RNAcentral.